UCUCCACUCCUUCUGGGAACUCCACCUGGUUCAACCUGCCUGCCUCCACUCCUGCCUCCACCAUGUCCAUCAGGGUGACCCAGAAGUCCUGCAGAGUGUCCACUUCUGGCCCUCUGGCCUUCAGCAGCCAUUUCUACACAAGUGGGCCUGGUGCCUGCAUCAGCUCCUCGAGCUUCUCCCGAGUGGGCAGCUUCCGGGGUAGCCUGGGAGGAGGCUAUGGUGGGGCCAGUGGCAUGGGAGGCAUCACCACUGUCACUGUCAACCAGAGCCUGCUGAGCCCCCUUAACCUGGAGGUGGACCCCAACAUCCAGGCAGUGCACACUCAGAAGAAGGAGCAGAUCAAGACCCUCAACAACAAGUUUGCCUCCUUCAUAUACAAGGUACAGUUCCUGGAGCAGCAAAGCAAGAUGCUGGAGACCAAGUGGAGCCUCCUGCAGCAGCAGAAGAUGGCUCGGAGCAACAUGGACAACAUGUUCCAGAGCUACAUCAACAACCUUAGGCGGCAGCUGGAGACUCUGGGCCAGGAAAAGCUGAAGCUAGAGGCGGAGCUUGGCAACAUGCAGGGGCUGGUGGAGGACUUCAAGAACAAGUAUGAGGAUGAGAUCAAUAAGCGUACAGAGAUGGAGAAUGAAUUUGUCCUCAUCAAGAAGGAUGUGGAUGAAGCUUGCAUGAACAAGGUAGAGCUGGAGUCUCGCCUGGAAGGGCUGACAGACGAAAUCAACUUCCUCAGGCAGCUGUAUGAAGAGGAUAGCCCGGAGCUGCAGUCCCGGGCUAUGUCUGUGGUGCUGUCCAUGGACAACAACCACUCCCUGGACGUGGACAGCAUCAUCAAUGAGGUCAAGCGCAGUACGAGGUCACCAGCCACAGCCGGGUUGAGGCCGAGAGCAUGUAUCAGAUCAAGUAUGAGUAGCUGCAGACGCUGGCUGGGAAGCACGGGGAUGACCUGCAGCAUACAAAGACUGAGAUCUCCGCGAUGAACCGGAACAUCAGCCGGCUCCAGGCUGAGAUUGAGGGUCUCAAAGGCCAGAGGGCUUCCCUGGAGGCCGCCAUCGCAGAUGCGGAGCAGCGCAGGGAGUUGGCUGUUAAGGAUGCCAGCGCCAAGCUGUCUGAGCUGGAGGCCGCCCUGCAGCAAGCCAAGCAGGACAUGGUGCGGCAGCUGCAUUAGUACCAGGAGCUGAUGAACGUCAAGCUGGCCCUGGACAUCGAGAUCGCCACCUACAGGAAGCUGCUGGAGGGCGAGGAGAGCUGGCUGGAGUCUGGGAUGCAGAGCAUGAGUAUCCAUAGGAAGACCGCCAGCAGCUAUGCAGGUGGUCUGAGCUCGGCCUAUGGGGGCCUCACAAGUCCCGGCCUCAGCUAUGGACUGGGCUCCAGCUUUGGCUCUGGCGCGGGCUCCAGUUCCUUCAGCUGCACCAGCUACACCAGGGCCGUGGUUAUGAAGAAGAUUGAGACCCGUGAUGGGACGCUGGUGUCAGAGUCCUCUGACGUCCUGCCCAAGUGA
This is an RNA transcript of Nomascus leucogenys (northern white-cheeked gibbon), 1498 nucleotides long. It is a transcript of the gene named keratin, type II cytoskeletal 8 pseudogene, with no coding region annotated. Lineage: Eukaryota; Metazoa; Chordata; Mammalia; Primates; Hylobatidae. The transcript has a single exon. The record is from RefSeq and is a predicted model, not a curated record.